This 301-nucleotide ribosomal RNA is filed under the name uncultured bacterium. Its description in RNAcentral is "partial 16S ribosomal RNA". It matches the Rfam family "Bacterial small subunit ribosomal RNA", at positions 509 to 807 of the family's 1533-position model. The record is from RNAcentral.
CAGCAGCCGCGGUAAUACGAAGGGUGCAAGCGUUACUCAGAAUUACUGGGCGUAAAGCGUGCGUAGGUGGUGGUUUAAGUCCGUUGUGAAAGCCCUGGGCUCAACCUGGGAAUUGCAGUGGAUACUGGGUCACUAGAGUGUGGUAGAGGAUAGUGGAAUUUCCGGUGUAGCAGUGAAAUGCGUAGAGAUCGGAAGGAACAUCUGUGGCGAAGGCGACUAUCUGGGCCAACACUGACACUGAGGCACGAAAGCGUGGGGAGCAAACAGGAUUAGAUACCCGCGUAGUCCCUGUCUCUUAUAC